RNAcentral lists this non-coding RNA (26 nucleotides) under Homo sapiens (human). The record is from RNAcentral. Lineage: Eukaryota; Metazoa; Chordata; Mammalia; Primates; Hominidae.
GGGAAAAGCCUUACGUGUGCCGGGAA